CCUACGGGAGGCAGCAGUGAGGAAUAUUGGUCAAUGGACGAGAGUCUGAACCAGCCAAGUAGCGUGAAGGAUGACUGCCCUAUGGGUUGUAAACUUCUUUUAUAUGGGAAUAAAAUGUUCCACGUGUGGGAUUUUGUAUGUACCCUAUGAAUAAGGAUCGGCUAACUCCGUGCCAGCCGCCGCGGUAAUACGGAGGGUCCGAGCGUUAUCCGGAUUUAUUGGGUUUAAAGGGAGCGUAGGUGGAUUGUUAAGUCAGUUGUGAAAGUUUGCGGCUCAACCGUAAAAUUGCAGUUGAAACUGGCAGUCUUGAGUACAGUAGAGGUGGGCGGAAUUCGUGGUGUAGCGGUGAAAUGCUUAGAUAUCACGAAGAACUCCGAUUGCGAAGGCAGCUCACUGGACUGCAACUGACACUGAGGCUCGAAAGUGUGGGUAUCAAACAGGAUUAGAUACCCCUGUAGUC
RNAcentral lists this ribosomal RNA (460 nucleotides) under uncultured bacterium. Its description in RNAcentral is "partial 16S ribosomal RNA". It matches the Rfam family "Bacterial small subunit ribosomal RNA", at positions 338 to 795 of the family's 1533-position model. The record is from RNAcentral.